Molecule: ribosomal RNA, 253 nt
Filed under: uncultured bacterium
Lineage: Bacteria
Description: partial 16S ribosomal RNA
Rfam family: Bacterial small subunit ribosomal RNA
Source: RNAcentral
UACGUAGGGGGCGAGCGUUGUCCGGAAUUAUUGGGCGUAAAGAGCGUGUAGGCGGCUUGGCAAGUCUGACGUGAAAGCCCGCGGCUCAACCGCGGAUUGUCGUUGGAAACUGCCUCGCUAGAGUCCGGAAGAGGAGAGCGGAAUUCCUGGUGUAGCGGUGAAAUGCGCAGAUAUCAGGAAGAACACCCGUGGCGAAGGCGGCUCUCUGGGACGGUACUGACGCUGAGACGCGAAAGCGUGGGGAGCGAACAGG